GGUUAAGUUAAUAAGGGCGCACGGUGGAUGCCUUGGCACUAGUAGUCGAUGAAGGACGGGACUAACACCGAUAUGCUUUGGGGAGCUGUAAGUAAGCAUUGAUCCAGAGAUUUCCGAAUGGGGAAACCCGG
This 131-nucleotide ribosomal RNA is filed under the name uncultured bacterium. RNAcentral describes it as "partial 23S ribosomal RNA". It matches the Rfam family "Bacterial large subunit ribosomal RNA", at positions 1 to 131 of the family's 2925-position model. The record is from RNAcentral.